RNAcentral lists this ribosomal RNA (460 nucleotides) under uncultured bacterium. RNAcentral's name for it is "partial 16S ribosomal RNA". It matches the Rfam family "Bacterial small subunit ribosomal RNA", at positions 338 to 795 of the family's 1533-position model. The record is from RNAcentral.
CCUACGGGUGGCAGCAGUGAGGAAUAUUGGUCAAUGGGCGCAAGCCUGAACCAGCCAUGCCGCGUGAAGGAAGACGGCUCUAGGUGUUGUAAACUCCUUUUGUAGGGGAGUAAACACAGACGCUCGUAUCUUUCUGAAAGUCUCUUACGAAUAAGGAUCGGCUAACUCCGUUCCCGCAGCCGCGGUAAUACGGAGGGUCCAAGGGUUAUCCGGAUUUAGUGGGUUUAAAGGGAGCGUAGGCGGUUGGAUAAGUUAGCGGUGAAAGUAUGGGGCUCAACCGCUGAAUUGCAUUUGAUACUGGAAGGCGAGAGUGCAGGUGAGGUAGGUGGAAUGCCUGGUGUAGCGGUGAAAUGCGUAGAGAGCAGGAAGAACACCGAUGGCGAAGGCAGCUUACUAAACUGCCACUGACGUUGAGGCUCGAAAGCGUGGGGAGCAAACAGGAUUAGAUACCCGAGUAGUC